This is a long non-coding RNA of Asparagus officinalis (garden asparagus), 578 nucleotides long. RefSeq lists it as uncharacterized. The record is from RefSeq and is a predicted model, not a curated record. The transcript is spliced from 2 exons. NCBI's taxonomy places the organism in Eukaryota, Viridiplantae, Streptophyta, Magnoliopsida, Asparagales, Asparagaceae.
GCUGCUCGGAGAAGGAGGUAAUGCAGGGGGAGGGCCGAGGUACGUCUAGAGAGGAUAGGUUAGGAUUCAGCUGGCCAUCAUCCAUACAUUAGCUGCGGGAUCACAGGCUGAAGCUAGCAAUGCGGGAAGCAGUGGGAAUGAAAGUGGAGGUGCAGGAUCUGGGCCUGGGUCAGAGACCCACCAAGAGGACUUGGAUUGAGGGUGGCUGGAGGAUGAGCCGUGAGCUGUUCUCAGUACUGCAUCAAAUGCGAUACCUGUUAUGAAAUUCAGUAAAAAGGACUGCUGUUCAAAAUAAUUGCUGAGCUCAUUAGUUUUAGUUACUUCUCAGAUAGCUGGGGAGAGACUGUGGAUAUGGUAGGAGUUGCAUUCCGAUAAAAAUCAAAUCAUACCAAGGAAAUGCACAUGUCUGAACUCGAGGUUAUAUACACAGCAUUUUGUUUAUUACUUAAGAAACCAUGUUGUAUCUUCAUUUUCUUUUUAUUCAUUUUUUUUAUACUUGUUAUCAAAGGUGGUGUACUUGUCGGAUUUAUUUUUGUACAAGUUUUAUAUACGGCUGUCUGAACUGGUUAUUAUUUACA